Molecule: ribosomal RNA, 460 nt
Filed under: uncultured bacterium
Lineage: Bacteria
Description: partial 16S ribosomal RNA
Rfam family: Bacterial small subunit ribosomal RNA
Source: RNAcentral
CCUACGGGGGGCAGCAGUGAGGAAUAUUGGUCAAUGGACGAGAGUCUGAACCAGCCAAGUAGCGUGAAGGAUGACUGCCCUAUGGGUUGUAAACUUCUUUUAUAUGGGAAUAAAAUGUUCCACGUGUGGGAUUUUGUAUGUACCAUAUGAAUAAGGAUCGGCUAACUCCGUGCCAGCAGCCGCGGUAAUACGGAGGAACCGAGCGUUAUCCGGAUUUAUUGGGUUUAAAGGGAGCGUAGGUGGAUUGUUAAGUCAGUUGUGAAAGUUUGCGGCUCAACCGUAAAAUUGCAGUUGAAACUGGCAGUCUUGAGUACAGUAGAGGUGGGCGGAAUUCGUGGUGUAGCGGUGAAAUGCUUAGAUAUCACGAAGAACUCCGAUUGCGAAGGCAGUUCACUGGACUGCAACUGACACUGAGGCUCGAAAGUGUGGGUAUCAAACAGGAUUAGAUACCCGUGUAGUC